RNAcentral lists this unclassified non-coding RNA (378 nucleotides) under plant metagenome. Its description in RNAcentral is "partial contains 5.8S ribosomal RNA, internal transcribed spacer 2, and large subunit ribosomal RNA". The stretch from base 1 to 105 matches the Rfam family "5.8S ribosomal RNA", at positions 50 to 154 of the family's 154-position model. The record is from RNAcentral.
GAAAUGCGAUAAGUAAUGUGAAUUGCAGAAUUCAGUGAAUCAUCGAAUCUUUGAACGCACCUUGCGCUCCUUGGUAUUCCUUGGAGCAUGCCUGUUUGAGUAUCAUGAAAUCUUCAAAGUAAAUCUUUUGUUAACUCAAUUGGUUUCUACUUUGGUAUUGGAGGUCUUUGCAGCUUCACACCUGCUCCUCUUUGUUCAUUAGCUGGAUCUCAGUGUUAUGCUUGGUUCCACUCGGCGUGAUAAGUCAUCUAUCGCUGAGGACACUGUAAAAGGUGGCCAAGGUAAAUGCAGAUGAACCGCUUCUAAUAGUCCAUUGACUUGGACAAUACUUUUAUGAUCUGAUCUCAAAUCAGGUAGGACUACCCGCUGAACUUAAGC